RNAcentral lists this ribosomal RNA (213 nucleotides) under Klebsiella pneumoniae. RNAcentral's name for it is "partial 23S ribosomal RNA". It matches the Rfam family "Bacterial large subunit ribosomal RNA", at positions 1310 to 1527 of the family's 2925-position model. Lineage: Bacteria; Pseudomonadati; Pseudomonadota; Gammaproteobacteria; Enterobacterales; Enterobacteriaceae. The record is from RNAcentral.
CGAUAAAGCGGGUGAAAAGCCCGCUCGCCGGAAGACCAAGGGUUCCUGUCCAACGUUAAUCGGGGCAGGGUGAGUCGACCCCUAAGGCGAGGCCGAAAGGCGUAGUCGAUGGGAAACAGGUUAAUAUUCCUGUACUUGGUGUUACUGCGAAGGGGGGACGGAGAAGGCUAUGUUAGCCGGGCGACGGUUGUCCCGGUUUAAGCAUGUAGGCUG